RNAcentral lists this ribosomal RNA (460 nucleotides) under uncultured bacterium. Its description in RNAcentral is "partial 16S ribosomal RNA". It matches the Rfam family "Bacterial small subunit ribosomal RNA", at positions 338 to 795 of the family's 1533-position model. The record is from RNAcentral.
CCUACGGGUGGCAGCAGUAGGGAAUCUUUCACAAUGGGCGAAAGCCUGAUGGAGCAACGCCGCGUGAAGGUCAGUGCCCUAUGGGCGUUAAACUUCUUUUGUGCGGGAGCAAUAAUGGUCACGUGUGGCCAGACGAGAGUACCGUACGAAUAAGCAUCGGCUAACUCCGCGCCAGCAGCCGCGGUAAUACGGGGGGUGCAAGCGUUAUCCGGAUUUAUUGGGUUUAAAGGGUGCGUAGGCUGUGAGGUAAGUCAGCGGUGAAAGGCCCCCGCUCAACGGGGUGAAGUGCCAUUGAUACUGCCGUGCUGGAAUGCGGAUGCCGUGGGAGGAAUGUGUGGUGUAGCGGUGAAAUGCAUAGAUAUCACACAGAACACCGAUUGCGAAGGCAUCUCACGAAUCCGCGAUUGACGCUGAUGCACGAAAGCGUGGGUAUCAAACAGGAUUAGAUACCCCAGUAGUC